Molecule: ribosomal RNA, 460 nt
Filed under: uncultured bacterium
Lineage: Bacteria
Description: partial 16S ribosomal RNA
Rfam family: Bacterial small subunit ribosomal RNA
Source: RNAcentral
CCUACGGGAGGCUGCCGUGAGGAAUAUUGGUCAAUGGACGAGAGUCUGAACCAGCCAAGUAGCGUGAAGGAUGACUGCCCUAUGGGUUGUAAACUUCUUUUAUAUGGGAAUAAAACAGGGUAUGCAUACCCUCUUGUAUGUACCAUAUGAAUAAGGAUCGGCUAACUCCGUGCAAGCAGCCGCGGUAAUACGGAGGAUCCGAGCGUUAUACGGAUUUAUUGGGUUUAAAGGGAGCGUAGGUGGAUUGUUAAGUAAGUUGUGAAAGUUUGCGGCUCAACCGUAAAAUUGCAGUUGAAACUGGCAGUCUUGAGUACAGUAGAGGUAAGCGGAAUUCGUGGUGUAGCGGUGAAAUGCUUAGAUAUCGCGAAGAACUCCGAUUGCGAAGGCAGCUCACUGGACUGCAACUGACACUGAUGCUCGAAAGUGUGGGUAUCGAACAGGAUUAGAUACCCGUGUAGUC